This is a non-coding RNA of Drosophila virilis, 1066 nucleotides long. NCBI's taxonomy places the organism in Eukaryota, Metazoa, Arthropoda, Insecta, Diptera, Drosophilidae. The record is from RefSeq and is a predicted model, not a curated record.
UUUCAGCUUUUGUUUGCGUCACUCAAAUUUUGCCCGCCUUUGUUCAUCAAAGUAAUUAGUAAAACUCUGAAGGACCUUCUCAUUGCUGGCUCGCUUUUGUUCUCGCAUCGACUGAGGCCAUUUGUUGUAUAAAUUCAAGCACUCGCUCUUUUGCGGCUGGAGAUUUUGGGAGCUGACCAGCGCUCGAAGAAGCCAAAAACUGAAAGCUGUUUAUACAAAACAUGGUAGCAACACACACACACACACACACACACACUCACCACACCACGCAUUACACACAAAGUACCCGAGCACCCAGGCAGGGAUCCCACUGCUAGAGCUAAGCGUGUAAACCGAGCGCAGGUCCUUUAACCAGGCGAAGCAUGAGAAGUAAUGCAAAGUUGUCAACACUGAAGGGAAGGCAGAAGGAAUAUGUUGACGAUGACGGCGACGACGACGACGGCCACGGCGGCGGCGCCAUGGCGCAGAUUAUAAUUUCAAAAGAGACGCGCCAGGGACACGGGCACGCACACGGACAUACUGGCGGCAGCGAAGGACCUUCAUUAUGAAAGUUGCUGUUUUCAUUAUUUUCUUGCGCGAACGACUGCUGCGAGUGCCAGAGCGACGCCAGAUCCUGGCAGCGGCAAACCCAAACAACUAAUCUAAAUAAAGCAGCGAGCGGGGGUCUAUGGGUAGAAGCCUUUGGCACGAGGACGAGGAAGAGCAGAGACCGUAACUGCCGUUGCUUGUUUUAUUUUUGCACCCUGAAGGCAUUUGCCAAAAGGAUUCAUCUUACGACACUAGUGACCUCACCAACUGCGCACGAAACAUGCGGCGGGCACUGGAACUGGAGCUAGAGCUGCCGUUGCAGCAGGACAUUGGUUAAUCUAAUGUGUGGGUAGUCCAAAUACAGCAUUGAGUGUGGGGCACUCACUGCUUUGUUAUGUUUCUCUAGCGCAAAUAUAAGUUUGCCAUAAUGGCUGCCAGCAGCAUAAGCAGCAGCGGCAGAAGAGAGGAGCACUUUGCUUGUACCUUGGGGUACAAUCUGCCACAAAUACAACAAGCAACCACGCAAACCAGCCACCCA